GUUUUUGUAGUUGAAUUACAACGAUGGUUUUUCAUACCAUUAGUCAUGGUUUAAGUCCGUGUAAGAACU
This 69-nucleotide transfer RNA is filed under the name Mirza coquereli (Coquerel's mouse lemur). Its description in RNAcentral is "tRNA-Glu". It matches the Rfam family "tRNA". From Rfam's summary of the family: Transfer RNA (tRNA) molecules are approximately 80 nucleotides in length. Lineage: Eukaryota; Metazoa; Chordata; Mammalia; Primates; Cheirogaleidae. The record is from RNAcentral.